CGGCAGCAUGAUCUAGCUUGCUAGAUUGAUGGCGAGUGGCGANNNNNUGNGUAAUACAUCGGAACGUGCCCUGUAGUGGGGGAUAACUAGUCGAAAGAUUAGCUAAUACCGCAUACGACCUGAGGGUGAAAGUGGGGGACCGCAAGGCCUCAUGCUAUAGGAGCGGCCGAUGUCUGAUUAGCUAGUUGGUGGGGUAAAGGCCCACCAAGGCGACGAUCAGUAGCUGGUCUGAGAGGACGAUCAGCCACACUGGGACUGAGACACGGCCCAGACUCCUACGGGAGGCAGCAGUGGGGAAUUUUGGACAAUGGGCGAAAGCCUGAUCCAGCAAUGCCGCGUGUGUGAAGAAGGCCUUCGGGUUGUAAAGCACUUUUGUCCGGAAAGAAAUGGCUCUGGUUAAUACCUGGGGUCGAUGACGGUACCGGAAGAAUAAGGACCGGCUAACUACGUGCCAGCAGCCGCGGUAAUACGUAGGGUCCAAGCGUUAAUCGGAAUUACUGGGCGUAAAGCGUGCGCAGGCGGUUGUGCAAGACCGAUGUGAAAUCCCCGAGCUUAACUUGGGAAUUGCAUUGGUGACUGCACGGCUAGAGUGUGUCAGAGGGGGGUAGAAUUCCACGUGUAGCGGUGAAAUGCGUANAAA
This 640-nucleotide ribosomal RNA is filed under the name beta proteobacterium MR-CH-I21. RNAcentral describes it as "bacterial SSU rRNA". It matches the Rfam family "Bacterial small subunit ribosomal RNA", at positions 67 to 696 of the family's 1533-position model. Lineage: Bacteria; Pseudomonadati; Pseudomonadota; Betaproteobacteria. The record is from RNAcentral.